UACGUAGGGUGCGAGCGUUGUCCGGAAUUAUUGGGCGUAAAGGGCUCGUAGGCGGUUUGUCGCGUCGGGAGUGAAAACUCAGGGCUUAACCCUGAGCCUGCUUCCGAUACGGGCAGACUAGAGGUAUGCAGGGGAGAAUGGAAUUCCUGGUGUAGCGGUGAAAUGCGCAGAUAUCAGGAGGAACACCGGUGGCGAAGGCGGUUCUCUGGGCAUUACCUGACGCUGAGGAGCGGAAGUGUGGGGAGCGAACAGG
This 253-nucleotide ribosomal RNA is filed under the name uncultured bacterium. RNAcentral describes it as "partial 16S ribosomal RNA". It matches the Rfam family "Bacterial small subunit ribosomal RNA", at positions 524 to 776 of the family's 1533-position model. The record is from RNAcentral.